UACGUAGGGGGCUAGCGUUGUCCGGAUUUAUUGGGCGUAAAGAGCGUGUAGGCGGUCAGGUAAGUCCGCUGUGAAAACUCGAGGCUCAACCUCGAGACGCCGAUGGAAACCAUCUGACUAGAGUCCGGAAGAGGAGAGUGGAAUUCCUGGUGUAGCGGUGAAAUGCGCAGAUAUCAGGAAGAACACCAACGGCGAAGGCAGCUCGCUGGGACGGUACUGACGCUGAGACGCGAAAGCGUGGGGAGCAAACAGG
Molecule: ribosomal RNA, 253 nt
Filed under: uncultured bacterium
Lineage: Bacteria
Description: partial 16S ribosomal RNA
Rfam family: Bacterial small subunit ribosomal RNA
Source: RNAcentral